UGGGGAAUUUUGGACAAUGGGCGAAAGCCUGAUCCAGCAAUGCCGCGUGUGUGAAGAAGGCCUUCGGGUUGUAAAGCACUUUUGUCCGGAAAGAAAUCCUUGGCUCUAAUACAGUCGGGGGAUGACGGUACCGGAAGAAUAAGCACCGGCUAACUACGUGCCAGCAGCCGCGGUAAUACGUAGGGUGCAAGCGUUAAUCGGAAUUACUGGGCGUAAAGCGUGCGCAGGCGGUUUGCUAAGACCGAUGUGAAAUCCCCGGGCUCAACCUGGGAACUGCAUUGGUGACUGGCAGGCUAGAGUAUGGCAGAGGGGGGUAGAAUUCCACGUGUAGCAGUGAAAUGCGUAGAGAUGUGGAGGAAUACCGAUGGCGAAGGCAGCCCCCUGGGCCAAUACUGACGCUCAUGCACGAAAGCGUGGGGAGCAAACAGGAUUAGAUACCCUGGUAGUCCACGCCCUAAACGAUGUCAACUAGUUGUUGGGGGACUUCAUUUCCUUAGUAACGUAGCUAACGCGUGAAGUUGACCGCCUGGGGAGUACGGUCGCAAGAUUAAAACUCAAAUGAAUUGACGGGGUCAUAGCUGUUUCCU
RNAcentral lists this ribosomal RNA (587 nucleotides) under uncultured bacterium. RNAcentral describes it as "partial 16S ribosomal RNA". It matches the Rfam family "Bacterial small subunit ribosomal RNA", at positions 355 to 1375 of the family's 1533-position model. The record is from RNAcentral.